GGAAGGAUCAUUCACACUUACUUUUGGCCGAUCAACCAUGAACCUGUCGCCUUUCGGCCUCUCUUUUCACAGCGUAUCGAUUGAUGCGUGGCGGUUUUCGUGACGCGCCAGGUGAUAGAGGCGGAUUGGUUACUACUGUGGCAGAGUUAAGAUUUGAAGGAACAAUUUUUCUUAUUAAUUUCAGCGAUGGACGUCUUGGUUCCCUAAUCGAUGAAGGACGCAGUGAAUUGCGAUAAGCAGUGCGAAUUGCAGAAAUCUGUGAAUCAUCAGACCUCUGAACGCAUAUGGCGCUGCUGCAACUCGUUUGUGCAGCGUGUUUGGCUCAGUGUCUUUCAGCAUCAAUUAUAAGGCAAGUGGUGGCGUCGUGCGCAUUGGCUUGGCUAACGCGCUGCGUCGUCGGGAAACAGUGGUUAUGCUACAGUGGUGCUUGCAAUCAGCUGGAGGUUUUCCUGUCUAUUGUGGGUGCUGUCGUGGUUUUGUUUCUUGAUACUGACCUGAGCUCAAGCAAGAUGACCCGCUAAAUUUAAGCAUAUCAUUAAGCGGAGGAAAAGAAACUAAGCAGGAUUCUCUUAGUAGUUGCGAAUGAACAGAGAAUAGCUCAAAAUGAAAAUCACGCGCUUCUAGUGCGUGAAUUGUAGUCUGAAGGAGUGUUGCCUGUGGACGUCGCAGGGAAAAGUCUCUUGGAAGAGAACGCCAGAGAGGGUGAGAGUCCCGUCGCUGCCCUGCUAUACGUUCACAUACGGAGCACGUUCUUAGAGUCGCGUUUCUUGGGAGUGAAACGCAAAUUGGGUGGUAAACUUUAUCUAAGGCUAAAUAUUCUGUGGGAAACCGAUAGCAAAUAAGUACCUUGAGGGAAAGAUGAAAAGGACUUUGAAAAGAGAGUUAAAAUUCCCCGAAAUUGCUGAAAUGGAAGCGGUUGAAACUCAUCGAGUGUACCUUGGGAGUUUAGGAAUGCUGCGACAGAACUAACAUCGCAAUCACAAUCGGUUUGCGGUGUUAGCGUUGUUGUGGCGCUCUGAUUCUCGCGAGUGGAUUCAGCUGUGGUUUUGGUGCCAUUAACUGAGUGUUAUAACGGGCGUGUCUUUCGAGGCCGUUGCGGUUUUAACCCCCUAUUAGGUGGCAGAGAUCAAGGGAAUCACAUGCUGGCACAGCUUCGGCGUCCAGCAGGGUGGCAGCUGAUAUACAGUUUUUACCGACCCGUCUUGAAACACGGAUCAAGGAGUCCAACAGAUAUGCGGGUCCGGGGGCGGCAAACCCACGGGCAGAAUGAAAGUAACAGUUCCUAGCCGGAACAACCGACCACAAUCUCUGAGAGAGGUUUGAGUAGGAGCAUAUCUGUUGGGACCCGAAAGAUGGUGAACUAUUCCUGAAUAGGGUGAAGCCAGGGGAAACCCUGGUGGAGGCUCGUAGCGAUACUGACGUGCAAAUCGUUCGUCAAAUUUGGGUAUAGGGGCGAAAGACUAAUCGAACCAUCUAGUAGCUGGUUCCCUC
RNAcentral lists this unclassified non-coding RNA (1491 nucleotides) under uncultured fungus. RNAcentral describes it as "sequence contains 18S rRNA gene, ITS1, 5.8S rRNA gene, ITS2, 28S rRNA gene". The stretch from base 491 to 1491 matches the Rfam family "Eukaryotic large subunit ribosomal RNA", at positions 1 to 961 of the family's 3401-position model. Lineage: Eukaryota; Fungi. The record is from RNAcentral.